GGCCCAUUUAAACACCUUGUUUGGCAGGUGGCAUAUGAUUUCUUACCAACCAGAGACCGUCUCCGACAUUAGGGAGUUAAUUUUCAUGACACAUUCGAGGAAAGCUUCCACCUUUUUCUAGACAACCCGUUUGCACGAAAGGCUCCCCUAGGUUUAUAGCAACUUAAACCUCAAAUUUGUUGUCGAUGCAUGCAUUUAGAAUUUGAUUUAGAGAGUGUAAUCGUCGGAGUCGGCGGCUGAAGCGAGGAAGAGUCUGCAUUAGAAGUGGGAUUUUGAUCUUAGAAACUGAGGGGGAUUGACUGUUGGACAAAGAUCGAGAUGACAAUUUAAAUCUUCCAUACCUAAAUCGCCGAUUGCAAUAAAUGAGAAAGAGGUUCUUGAUUUUUUAAGAGAAAUUGACAUAAAAAGCUACAGAUACAAUGAAUUGAAAAAGAGAAUAUCUAAGAGAUAUUACUACAUCCGGGUCUCCGAGGCGGAUAGUAUAAUACAGGCACCGCUGCUUCCUGGUCUCUGAGGCAUAAACCCCUAUUAACACAGGACAGGCUCGGGUGGGUAGCUAGUUUGCCGGAUUUCAAUGCCAAGCGUACUCCUCUCUUCCAUGCUCCUUUGGGCUACUUUGCUUUUUUACUUUGGCAUUGGACUUUGAUGUCGAUUGCAGAUUCAAGUACUUUGUGAAUUGUAAAUUAUUGCAAAAAUUCAUCAGUAGUAAGUCAGCACCAGUAACUAACCAAAUCAUCAACCUUACACCAAAACAAUCAAAUAAAAGUAGCAGCAACAACACAUCCAUAUUCCUACAGCAGGAAGUCAGCAACACCGCCAUAUUCAAGCAGCAGCAACAACAAACCCUAAAUGAACAGAUGAAAUGGAUUGUUUAUUCAAGCAAGUAACAAAUCGGCCAGUUUAAAGACCUGUUAGUCACUCACCUAUAGAUAGUGCAAAGAUAGAGGAUUAAAAUUUGAAUCCAUCAGCAGAUCCAUCUCCCUUUUUGUAGAUGAGAACCAUUGAUGGAUUGAAGAUGGAUUCAUGGACUCCAUGGAUUGGAAACUGGAAUCACCAACAUAAGGGGACUAAUAGAGCCAUCAUAGAGUAGAAUCUUUGGGGUUUCUUGAUUAUAGGAGAGGAGAAGAUUGAAUCAGUGAUUUGAUUUGAGGAAUCAGCGAUUUGAAUGAGAAUGAUGAUUGAUGAAUUUGAAUACGAGGGUUUCGAAAAUCUGAACACAACCCGAAUAAUUACCCCUCUGGGUCGCUUGGGCGGAUCUAGCCUUCCAGAACCCUGCUUGAGCCCGAUAGAUACGGGUGGCGGGUAAGCCCGGACUCGACUAAUAAUCUGGUCAAACCGGGCCGAGGGCGGGCGGGCUUCUGAGGCACCGGCUUUUUAUGCCAAGCCUAAUUCCAC
Molecule: long non-coding RNA, 1395 nt
Filed under: Linum usitatissimum (flax)
Lineage: Eukaryota; Viridiplantae; Streptophyta; Magnoliopsida; Malpighiales; Linaceae
Description: long non-coding RNA (LUSI_LNC007052)
Source: RNAcentral